Gossypium arboreum is the source of this 137-nucleotide non-coding RNA. The record is from Rfam. NCBI's taxonomy places the organism in Eukaryota, Viridiplantae, Streptophyta, Magnoliopsida, Malvales, Malvaceae.
UAUUAAAAAUUUCAUCAAUUUCUACUUUUAAAAGUUGACAUGGCUAUCAGAAUAACCAAAUAGUUACACCCACGUGUACCUCAUAUUGACGUAUAGAGAUCAGUUUUUAAUAGUAGACAUGGAUAAAAUUUUUAACA